UACAGAGGUCUCAAGCGUUGUUCGGAUUCAUUGGGCGUAAAGGGUGCGUAGGCGGCGCGGUAAGUCGGGUGUGAAAUCUCGGAGCUUAACUCCGAAAUUGCAUUCGAUACUGCCGUGCUCGAGGACUGGAGAGGAGACUGGAAUUCAUGGUGUAGCAGUGAAAUGCGUAGAGAUCGGGAGGAACACCCGUGGCGAAGGCGGCCAACUGGGCCGGACCUGACGCUGAGGCGCGAAGGCGUGGGGAGCGAACGGG
RNAcentral lists this ribosomal RNA (253 nucleotides) under uncultured bacterium. Its description in RNAcentral is "partial 16S ribosomal RNA". It matches the Rfam family "Bacterial small subunit ribosomal RNA", at positions 524 to 776 of the family's 1533-position model. The record is from RNAcentral.